Long non-coding RNA from Myotis brandtii (Brandt's bat), 903 nucleotides. RefSeq lists it as uncharacterized. Lineage: Eukaryota; Metazoa; Chordata; Mammalia; Chiroptera; Vespertilionidae. The transcript is spliced from 4 exons. The record is from RefSeq and is a predicted model, not a curated record.
UAUGAUCGUUCUCUCUCUCUCUUUUUUUUUUUUUAGCAGAUGAAUUCACUUAGGCACAGGGAGAUGACGUGAUUAACUCAAGGUCACAGUGUCAAGGAUGGAACCCAGACCUCCUUAUUUCCUUAUGGGUACCUCUGGUGAUCCUGAGAUCUGGCAAAAAGGGCGCUGGACUAUUCACUUCUUCAGACACCACCCAUUUUACAGAUGAAGCCACUGAGAUAAUGGAGCAACUGACUAAAUAGUCACCACCCCACCUCUGGAGCCUCACACAGGACUUUUCUCCUCCCACUUGAGUGGCUGCAGGUGAGACAUGGUCUUGUCACUGUAACAUAAUAGUUGAGAAUGUGACUCUGGAGUCAGCCUUCUGGGGCGUGAAUUCUGACUCAGCCACUUACUGUGUGUCCUUGGGUAAGGAAAUGGAGGCCCAGAAUGGUCAAAUAUUUGGAGAUCUCUCAAGGCCACUGCUCUGCUGGCUGGGCACUUACCCUGAAGCUCCUGUUGUUGCUGUUGUCAGCUCUCCACUUUCACCACAGCCAUCAGCUUCUGGUAGUGCUGGGGCUGAGCUGCUGGAAUGGCUCCUUUCUGUCACAGCAGGCCCAGCCUUUUCCCCAUCCUUGCCCACUUCACAUCCUGAAGCAGAAACUCUUCUCAUGAGGUUUCUGGCUAUAGCCUGAUCAUUUCACCAGGUCUCUUACUCCAACCCUUCAGGCUUUACUUUUCAUUUCCAUGCAUUGUCAGAGAAGUGUGGGUGACAUUUGAGGGGAGGGUCACCCAGCUCCUGGCAAUUGAAUUAUGCUUCUCAUUUCUGGCCCGCUUAUGCUUCCAAGAAUUUCUGUCAGUAGACAAUUCAAGUCUUUAUUUUUCUUUGGAGCUUUUAAGAUCUCACACAUAGCUCAUAUGGCA